UUUCAGUUUAUGUAGGUAUACUCCAGAAUACUCACGCAAUGAGGGAAUUGCCUGACAGUGCAUUUCUCAGAACAUAUCCCUAUUGGAAUGAGAAAGAGAACCUGGGCCCAGAAAGGAGCAAGAGUGAACCAAUGAACAGCUGAGAGGGCAACAGAAGCUGAAAAGGGCGUGUGUGGAAUUCAGAGAAAUCAAACGAACCCACUGAGGCAAGAGGCAGCCUUGGUCAAGAGGAAAAGCUGCUGUGUGCAGGAACUCUGCAGUGGAGAGAGUCGGGAUUCAGCUGUGGGAGGCAGCACACUUCCCAGUGAAAACAGUGGUUCUAGCUCACUGAAUCACGCUCAGUCAUUACUGCCCAGCAGAGAGGUCCUCUCUCUCUUAAACCUCCACAUGUGGAAUGCUGUCUUCACAGGAACCAGGCAAGAGAGAGGAACACAUUUAACAAAAUUUUGAUUUAUCAGACAACAACAGAUUGUGAUAUUAUAUAUACACAAAGGCCAAAGUUUUCUCUUUCCAUACCCCUCCCCUUAAGAACAAUAUCAUAUUAGUUAUAGAAAAGAAGGAGACUACAUUGGUGUUAUACAUCAGAGUGCAGCAUAUGAAUGUGUAACCCUCAGUUGGAGACUUAAAUCUUAGUGGCUUCAUUUACUAGUAUGUGAUCACAAGUAAUAACUAAAUUCUUUUAACACUAUUUCUCUUAAAAUAGAAAUUAGAUCUCCUAAAAUAGGAAAAAAAA
This is a long non-coding RNA of Chinchilla lanigera (long-tailed chinchilla), 733 nucleotides long. RefSeq lists it as uncharacterized. Lineage: Eukaryota; Metazoa; Chordata; Mammalia; Rodentia; Chinchillidae. The record is from RefSeq and is a predicted model, not a curated record. The transcript has 3 exons.